Triplophysa dalaica is the source of this 73-nucleotide non-coding RNA. The record is from the annotation of a RefSeq genome assembly. Lineage: Eukaryota; Metazoa; Chordata; Actinopteri; Cypriniformes; Nemacheilidae.
GGCCUCGUGGGCACAACGGUAGCGCGUCUGACUCCAGAUCAGAAGGUUGCGUGUUCAAAUCACGUCGGGGUCA